AAUUUUGGACAAUGGGCGCAAGCCUGAUCCAGCCAUGCCGCGUGAGUGAAGAAGGCCUUCGGGUUGUAAAGCUCUUUCGGACGGAAAGAAAUCGCGCAGGCUAAUACCCUGCGCGGAUGACGGUACCGUCAUAAGAAGCACCGGCUAACUACGUGCCAGCAGCCGCGGUAAUACGUAGGGUGCGAGCGUUAAUCGGAAUUACUGGGCGUAAAGCCGUCGCCGGGGGUUUGUUUAAGCCGGGCUUGAAACCCCCGGGUUUACCUGGGGAACUCGGCUUGUACUGGGUAAGUUGGAUUCCGGAAGAGGGGGUUGGAAUUCCAGGGUUGGCGGUAAAAGGCUUAGAGAUGUGGGGGACCCCCGUGGGCAAAGGCAGCCCCCUGGGCGGUUACUACCGUUCAUGACCGAAAGCGUGGUUAGAAAACAG
RNAcentral lists this ribosomal RNA (424 nucleotides) under uncultured bacterium. RNAcentral describes it as "partial 16S ribosomal RNA". It matches the Rfam family "Bacterial small subunit ribosomal RNA", at positions 360 to 775 of the family's 1533-position model. The record is from RNAcentral.